UUGACCUCAAAUCAGGUAGGACUACCCGCUGAAUUAAGCAUAUCAAUAAGCGGAGGAAAAGAAACUAACAAGGAUUCCCCUAGUAACUGCGAGUGAAGCGGGAAAAGCUCAAAUUUAAAAUCUGGC
Molecule: ribosomal RNA, 126 nt
Filed under: Melanoleuca sp. MSG-2013a
Lineage: Eukaryota; Fungi; Basidiomycota; Agaricomycetes; Agaricales; Pluteaceae
Description: partial 25S ribosomal RNA
Rfam family: Eukaryotic large subunit ribosomal RNA
Source: RNAcentral